CCCAGAAAUCUGGUAUGCCAGC
This 22-nucleotide microRNA is filed under the name Homo sapiens (human). RNAcentral describes it as "hsa-miR-9902". The record is from miRBase by way of RNAcentral. Lineage: Eukaryota; Metazoa; Chordata; Mammalia; Primates; Hominidae.